Molecule: ribosomal RNA, 689 nt
Filed under: uncultured bacterium
Lineage: Bacteria
Description: bacterial SSU rRNA
Rfam family: Bacterial small subunit ribosomal RNA
Source: RNAcentral
AACGCUAGCUACAGGCUUAACACAUGCAAGUCGAGGGGCAGCAUUAGGUAGCAAUACUGAGAUGGCGACCGGCGCACGGGUGCGUAACGCGUAUCCAACCUUCCCGUUACUCUUGGAUAGCCUUCCGAAAGGGAGAUUAAUACAAGAUGGUGUUGAAAUUCCGCAUGUUAUUGAAACUAAAGAUUUAUCGGUAUCGGAUAGGGAUGCGUGACAUUAGGUAGUAGGCGGGGUAACGGCCCACCUAGCCGACGAUGUCUAGGGGUUCUGAGAGGAAGGUCCCCCACACUGGAACUGAGACACGGACCAGACUCCUACGGGAGGCAGCAGUGAGGAAUAUUGGUCAAUGGGCGGAAGCCUGAACCAGCCAAGUAGCGUGAAGGAUUACAGCCCUACGGGUUUUAAACUUCUUUUAUAUAAGAGUAAUGUGCACUACGUGUAGUGUAUUGCAAGUAUUAUAUGAAUAAGCAUCGGCUAACUCCGUGCCAGCAGCCGCGGUAAUACGGAGGAUGCGAGCGUUAUCCGGAUUUAUUGGGUUUAAAGGGAGCGUAGGCGGGAUAUUAAGUCAGUCGUCAAAGCCUGUGGCUCAACCACAGCCCGCGAUUGAUACUGGUAACCUUGAGUGCGGAUGAGGUGGAUGGAAUUCGUGGUGUAGCGGUGAAAUGCUUAGGUAUCACGAAGAACUCCGAUUG